Molecule: transfer RNA, 72 nt
Filed under: Paratomella rubra
Lineage: Eukaryota; Metazoa; Xenacoelomorpha; Acoela; Paratomellidae
Description: tRNA-Ser
Source: RNAcentral
AAAGGAGUAGUAUAAUAGUGAUUAUUAUUUUUGAUUUGAGAUCUUAAGAUAUUGUGUGAAUAAUUUCCUUUU